UGGGGAAUAUUGGACAAUGGGCGCAAGCCUGAUCCAGCCAUGCCGCGUGUGUGAAGAAGGCCUUCGGGUUGUAAAGCACUUUUGUCCGGAAAGAAAUCCUGUCGGUUAAUACCCGGCGGGGAUGACGGUACCGGAAGAAUAAGCACCGGCUAACUUCGUGCCAGCAGCCGCGGUAAUACGAAGGGUGCAAGCGUUACUCGGAAUUACUGGGCGUAAAGCGUGCGUAGGUGGUUCGUUAAGUCUGAUGUGAAAGCCCUGGGCUCAACCUGGGAAUGGCAUUGGAUACUGGCGACCUAGAGUGCGGUAGAGGGGUGUGGAAUUCCCGGUGUAGCAGUGAAAUGCGUAGAUAUCGGGAGGAACAUCUGUGGCGAAGGCGACACCCUGGACCAGCACUGACACUGAGGCACGAAAGCGUGGGGAGCAAACAGGAUUAGAUACCCUGGUAGUCCACGCCCUAAACGAUGCGAACUGGAUGUUGGGUGCAACUUGGC
RNAcentral lists this ribosomal RNA (491 nucleotides) under uncultured Pseudomonadota bacterium. RNAcentral describes it as "bacterial SSU rRNA". It matches the Rfam family "Bacterial small subunit ribosomal RNA", at positions 355 to 837 of the family's 1533-position model. The record is from RNAcentral. Lineage: Bacteria; Pseudomonadati; Pseudomonadota.